UCGCGGGGCAGCCCGCCUGGCCCGCCGGCGCAGGUGAGCCCUUUUCAUAAAGGACGCGGGAAACUGGGGCCUGUUUACCAGCUCUAUAAAUGCACGUGGAAGAGAAGAACUGGCCUUCGAGGUACAGCUGCUAGCUGAUCUCUUGUGAAAAGGAGCCUUUUGGAAAGGGCGCUUAAAGGGAAAACGUGGCCACAGGUCCUGAAGGGGCUGCUUCUCAUGGACCCCCUUUGAGUAGUGUCUCUUGAAUAGCCGUGGAAAAUGAACUUAAUAUAAAGCAGACACAGCCCUCAAGCGCUCCCUGACUCGGGACAGCAUCCCUUCUGCCUCUUGAAGCUCGUUGACUUUGGAAAUCACCCGCGGCUCUGUGGCCACCUCCCCUGUUGGCUGAAGCUUGCCUCGCCGCACGUCCCUCUUUGCGCAGGUCUGCACGCUCCGCAGAGGUAACUGAGGACUUUCCGAGUCCAGCUGACUGGAAAGAGGCGAUGGCCUAACAAAACGGCCUGGGGAAUUUCCAGCACGAUGGGAAUUUGCCAAAUAGCUCUUCUGUAGGGCUGACGAGGCCUACUAAUGUUUGCUCCUCAAAGUCAGCCAUAAUUACGAAGAUAUUUACAGAUAAUCCGAGGAAGAGGAAUAUGCCUGUGAGCCACGUUCCAGAAGCUAAUACCUGGCGGGAUGUGUAUAACAAAUUACUUGCUUCGAGUGUUACAGCUGAGCUCAUGGAUGGCAUUCUUACUGGAUUAUUAAAGGCUUCUCAGGGUGUUUGGGAAUGCCUCUGUUUCAAGUUUAAUUCCACAAGUCCCUGAGUGAACACGCUGUGGCAACUUCAAACAAAAAUCAGAUUAACCAAACCAGCCUCCUCUCCUGGGGAAGGGAAACUGCCCUUCAAAAGGUAGUGCUGGAAAAGAAAAGAUAUUGAGAUCAUCUAGUCCAACUUUUCAAGCAGAGUAGCGAUCCCCUCUAUAUUAUCUGAGAUGGAGAGUUGUUUCUGUGAUGAAGCAUUUACUACCUCAUGGUCUAGUCUGCUGCUGGACUUUGUAACUGUUAGAAGGUUCCUGUGAUAUUGAGGCGAGUUUUGCCCACCUGUGGCUUCCAUCAUGGGUUCCACAGUCACUGGAGGAGCGUGAAGCUUUCACGAAGUGUUUUUAGGGAGACAGGACGGUAGAGCAGAAGGAGCUUAGGCUUCAGCAUUGGGGAGUCUUGGGAUCAAAGUGAACUCUGCUACUUACUAGCU
This 1231-nucleotide long non-coding RNA is filed under the name Equus asinus (donkey). RNAcentral's name for it is "lncRNA (ENSEASG00005036100.1)". Lineage: Eukaryota; Metazoa; Chordata; Mammalia; Perissodactyla; Equidae. The record is from RNAcentral.